RNAcentral lists this small RNA (165 nucleotides) under uncultured Enterocloster sp. Its description in RNAcentral is "Clostridiales-1 RNA". It matches the Rfam family "Clostridiales-1 RNA". Lineage: Bacteria; Bacillati; Bacillota; Clostridia; Lachnospirales; Lachnospiraceae. The record is from RNAcentral.
GAUACCAGGGUCAAAAGUUCAUAAAUCCGAUGCAAGCUUGCUUGCAGGAGGAUAUUUGAACUUGGGACCCGCCAAAAACAUGAGUAAGAAGCCAUUUUUUGAAAAAAUGAGCGUAUUACGAAUGUUUUUAGAAUUGCGGGAGUGCAAAGCACGUAGCAAUUCGGU